GCGGCCCCCGCGGAGGGCCCGCCGCGGCAGCGGCGAUACGGCCCGUGAGCGA
This 52-nucleotide ribosomal RNA is filed under the name Mesorhizobium sp. M2A.F.Ca.ET.015.02.1.1. Its description in RNAcentral is "partial 23S ribosomal RNA". Lineage: Bacteria; Pseudomonadati; Pseudomonadota; Alphaproteobacteria; Hyphomicrobiales; Phyllobacteriaceae. The record is from RNAcentral.